CAGUACCCCACAGUGUUGUGCAAUUCUUCAGAUAGCAGUUCACUCAAUGUUUUUGUCUGUUAGAGUUUUAUUGACGUGAAACGGUUUUGGGGAAAGCCACUGAAAGAGUUGCCUGUGAUGCUCAUUACUUUGAAAAUCUAUAUAUCGUUCUUUGACACUACGUAAUACAGCACAAACAAAGCAGCGCAGGUGUGAUUUUGUUGCAUGCCGACCACGUCCUCUAGAUCACUGUUAUUGCUUACACUUCUUGUAGUCUGCUCAUACUCAAAACAAAUGUGUGUUUUGUUGUUUGUUUCAUAUUGACUCCCAUUUGGUUGCAGGAAUGCAUUAUUUAGGCUCAUAUAGGAAUAAAUGAUUGAUGGUAAUAGUGCUUGAACUUAAAAUGUCAGGUAAUGUUUUUGGCAGCUACCCCUCCCACAAGCGUAUCUGUGCAGUGCUGUUUAUUCUGCUUAUAAAUAUGAUGGUCAAGUGCCAUUACCAAUAAGUUGGGCACAGAAAUCAUUUGUCAAUGGCAAGUCGGCAAAGAACAAGACGAAGCAAAUUGAUAUAACGUUAAAGGUUUGUCUCCUCUACUGCAGUCACACAGUUAUCGCUGACCAUGUUGGCUCAUAAUUCACACACUGGGGCGAGGCCAUUAAAAUGGUUGUUGGCUAAAUGAAAAUGCAAGCAUGACAUUUAACACUUGGCUUUAUUCAUUCUGCGCUUUGGCCUUCUUUCUACUAACUGUUAAAAUUGCUUAUGACUAAUAUGGAAAUUGAAUGCAGUCUGCAAAUCCAAGCAUGCCAUGAAUAUCAUUUAUUUACUGUAUUGUUUUAUAAAAGACAUCUCUCGUUAUUACAAGGCCAUUACUAUUGUAGACAUUGAGAAAUAUGCGUCAUACCCGUGUUACGUUCAAUAACCGUCUGCGUCAUUGUUACAAUAUCAGUUUUAAGUCUGGUUUCCUGGCAGGCGGGCUAAUAGGGAAGGUAUAACUUUUGUUAACUUUAACUUUGAUUUGUUCCUGGGUGUGGCUUAAGCUUGAACUCUCUAAUGUUGACAUACAAGUUCAAAAAUUGGUCAGAUUGUAAUUCUCAGAUACACCUCCAUUGGCUGCACCUUUCAGAAAGAGGUGAAAGAAUACCAGUUUCAUUAAAACUAUGGACAAAGUGUCCUGAUGGCCUAUUUGUCAUUAAUAAAAGAGAUCAGGUGUUCUUAUUUGUUGAGGCUAUGAAUUGAGGAAGUUAGAUCGUAUGAAACAAGUACAAACUUAAAAGUUAAGAAAUACUGUAAAGGGUCAUUUACAGCAGGAUUCUAAGUUAAUAUGUUUGCAAUAAAAAAAUAGAUAUUUUUACAAAAUACUAAUAUAUAUAAAAUAAAAAAAAUAGAGACAAGCUGUAUUUUUUACUUGGGAUAGCUAUUUGGAGCGUUUGGCCUUAAAGCUCGUUGUCAGACAUAUUUUUUCACUUGUACAACUGUACUAUGCAUUCCUUACACCAAGCUUGGUAGAGCCUCUGUCGUGUACUCCUGUGAUUUACCUCCAGGACAUAAAAUUUAGGCUUGGACAGAAAAUGUAACAACUCUCCAAGGUGUCUGUUACCUGGAAACCCCUCAAAAUGCUCUGAUUUUACGAUCAACACAUGUUGUCGCUUGUUUAACAAAGGACCAUUUAACAAACCAUUGGGCCCAUCACCUCAUUGAAACAUAAGCGUAAAAUCCAGCCACCAUUUUCAGAAAAACAAGGUUUAUUGUUUUCCUCUUAAAUCCAGCUGUACUAUGUCAACAAUCUUGAGUUAAUAAGCCAACCUGGAACUGAGAGAUCAUUUGCUUACAUACGUCCAAACACUUGAACCAAGCACACCAGAAAGGCCCACUUUGUUUCUUGUUGCAGGUCUGCAGCUUCUGAAUACAAAUGAGAGUUUUUUUGGUCUAAAAAAUUACAGCAGCUCCUAAAGGCAUCGUCUGCCGGCUUUAGCAACACCUCCCAGCUUCUCUCUCAUGAACUCACAGAUACACUUCCAUCAGAUCAUUUCAAAGUCCAGUUUUUUCAACGGAACUCUAUAGCAAACCAUCAAUUAUGUCAUUACAAACCUUGUCAUUACAUUACGUACGCUGUCCGCCAAUGUGCUUCUUUCCAUGAUUCCAGUCCUUAGUCAUCCCUUUAUGUAUGCGCGUGUAGAUGCGAAACAGUGGUUGUGCUAGAACGUGCUUGGAGUGGUCAAUUGCGUCAUCCUAUCAGCCAAAAGGAAUUUGAAAACUUUCAUCUUUUUCGAUGUAACUUUCAAUUCAAUUAAAGGGGAACAUUUUUGUCAAGCAAAAGCCAUAAAUACCUUCACUGCUUGUUUCUUUUCCUCUGGCUCUUAGAAUAAUAGUAAAGAGCAGGUAAUGAUCUCUAAUUUUUUCCUGAUGCCCCGCAAUGCUCAUGAAAGUGAGAUUGAAUUUUAGUUGAGCAAGCUUUGAUGUGUUUGAAUCGAUAUGUUUCUGCCGCAUGUUCAUAGAUCCUUGUUGGAUAUGUUUAAACACGCAAAAGCCUCCAUCUUGAAAUCACAACGUUGAUGCAAAAAGAUGUUGUUUGUUUAUGUGACCGGAACCCGUCACAGAUGUGGAAUUUGUAGGGCUGGGGAUGAUGAAAAAGCAACACACUUCAAACAUCGUCAUUAUAAAUAUGCUUUCUUAUCAUGAAAAUACCUGAAAAGGUUUGAAGAACCCAACGUUUUUUGGCCCAAAAUCCUUAUUUUCACAUACUGUAUAAUGACCGGAAAUAACUAAGGCUGCCCACACUCGCUGAUCGAAUAUCUAAUAUGGUGGCUUAGUGCAACUAGCCCAUCAGCAUUUCCUGGAGCUACUGCAAAUUGUCUAUUUCAAAACUAUAUAGUAGGCGAAAAUGAGUAUGAGUCAUGAAUAACAUGUCCGAAUCCUCAGUAUGUAAAAAAUAGUACGGGAGAAAUACCCGGAUGGUCUACUACUUCCGCCGAGAUUCGUGAGUGUGGAUCGGAUGGACACUUCUCUAUCCCAUGAUGACAUGGGAGCUUAGCAACUGUCAAAUUACAAAAGUAUUUUGACAGUUGCUAAGGUGUACGUCCGUUUUUAAUGUAAGUGCCAAUAAAUGAAUUUCUCGUGACUAAAUUACGUUUUUAUCAAUGCUUACGUAUAAGGUUGUUGUAAAUACGUCAUAGGUCAAAGAACAUACAGGUCACAUGACCAUAAAACAUGGCAGACGCAGUAUGUCCGAAAUGUAUUCAUACUACUCCCACUCAUACUAUAUAGAACGUACUGUUUUAACGGCCGAUAGGUAGGAACUUAUUCAAAAUCAGUACUUACUGUCACAGUAUGUGAUUUCAAACGCAGCGAACAUGUGUAAAUCGUUUUCAGUGUCCCAUAUUUGGAGUUUCCGCACAAGAGCACACUCUGGCUAAGGGAUAUGGCGGCAUUUAACUGUAAUUCAUUACGAAACUGUGCAUAAAAAUUACUAGAUAUAUUGUCCCAAUCCUGGUUAUUUGUCUUUUAUUGAAACAGACAAACAAUUCAAAAGACUCCAGGGAAAAACACAGAUCAGUUUUUCAGUUUUGUAUUCUUAAUUUGAAGGGACAACUAUCUAAGCCAUUUUUAGGUUUAUUUGUCACGUCCAUAAAACAUUGUUUCAUCCUUAACGGUCCAUAUUUUUCAUAAAUGUCCACAGGAAAAUGUAAAUAUCAUUGUUUUAUGCUUUGUGAAGACCAUUUGUUGGGUAUUUUUGCUUCUGGUUUUGCAUUUUGAUUCACUGAAAUCCAAUUUUUUUAUAGCUGGACUAUCAGCAGAGGUUCUCUGUAAGAUCUAAACGGGUGGUUCAAUAUAUUGAUAAUAAAUACUUUCUCUGUUUAUAUUUCAAGACCAUGCCAAAGUGAACGGGAAUGAUCACUGCAGGUGCUGCUUUUCUACAUCAACUCUAGACUUCAUUUCUCAUCAUCAGAUCUGUCCUCCCAACCAAAAUAUUUCCAUAGCAACCCAGCUGUCGGCCCGAGCAUGUUUGUUAUGUACACCGCACCUCUUGAAGUGGGCUUUCAGCUGGUCGGAGACAUUCUUACAUUGAGGGGUCCCUUCAAUGGCAUUUAACAGUGUAACAGUUUCACAAGCAUGUAUUAAGUCCAUCUAGGAGACUUUUCACAUCCACAGUGGCGGUUUUUAGAGAGAUUUUCUUACAGAUGGGUCAAUAUAUACUGCAGCCUGCACAUGUCUAGGUUGCUGACAAGAUACUAUGCAGAGCGCAGACGGGAUUGCAGCUGUAAGACAAUAUGGAGUUAUUUCUCGUACCUGUGCAAGGGCACACCAGGAAAUAUCAAAGCAACACAAACUCUCUGUCUGAGAUAUAUUAAAAGAACCUUUCACCUAAAUAUGAAAAAGUCUGUCUUCAUUUACUCAGCCUCAAGUUGGUCCAAAUCUGUACACAUUUCUUUGUUCUGUUGCACACAAAAGAAGAUAUUUUGAAGAAUGUAGGAAAGCAAACAGUUCUGGGGCACUUUUGACUACCAUUGUAAAAUUUCCUACUAUGGUAGUCAGUGGUGACCAAGAACUGUUUGUUUAGAAGCAUUUUUCCAGAUAUUUUUCUCUGGGUUCAUCGGAACAAAGAAAUUUGGAAAAAAGAAACUUGAUGGUGAAUAAAUGAUGACAGAAGUUUCAUUUUUGAUUGAACUGUCCUUUUAAGGGUCUGUCAAAGAGGAUGUGUUUAUGAAGUUUGUCUGCAGUGUUUUUCUUCUUCUGUGUACAUAGACUGUAGUAUUUACAUUUUGUCUUGCUGUUGUCUGAAAACAGCUUUAAAAAAUGUUCUUGUGUUUGCAUUCAUAAUGCAAUGUAACAAAUUAAAAUAAAUUUGCAUGAAGUUUA
This is a long non-coding RNA of Triplophysa dalaica, 4836 nucleotides long. RefSeq lists it as uncharacterized. NCBI's taxonomy places the organism in Eukaryota, Metazoa, Chordata, Actinopteri, Cypriniformes, Nemacheilidae. The record is from RefSeq and is a predicted model, not a curated record. The transcript has 2 exons.